AUUGAACGCUGGCGGCAUGCUUUACACAUGCAAGUCGAACGGCAGCGCGGGCUUCGGCCUGGCGGCGAGUGGCGAACGUGUGAGUAAUGCAUCGUAACGUGCCCAGUAGUUUGGGAUAGCCCGGCGAAAGCCGGAUUAAUACCGCAUACGACCUGAGGGUGAAAGCGGGGGACCGAAAGGCCUCGCGCUAUUGGAGCUGCCGAUGUCGGAUUAGCUAGUUGGUGGGGUAAAGGCUUACCAAGGCGACGAUCCGUAGCUGGUCUGAGAGGACGACCAGCCACACUGGGACUGAGACACGGCCCAGACUCCUACGGGAGGCAGCAGUGGGGAAUUUUGGACAAUGGGGGCAACCCUGAUCCAGCCAUGCCGCGUGCGGGAAGAAGGCCUUCGGGUUGUAAACCGCUUUUGUUCGGGAAGAAAUCCUCUGGGCUAAUACCCCGGGGGGAUGACGGUACCGGAAGAAUAAGCACCGGCUAACUACGUG
RNAcentral lists this ribosomal RNA (484 nucleotides) under uncultured bacterium. Its description in RNAcentral is "partial 16S ribosomal RNA". It matches the Rfam family "Bacterial small subunit ribosomal RNA", at positions 29 to 507 of the family's 1533-position model. The record is from RNAcentral.